GGCUCUUUGGGAUAAAUAUAUAAAGAGUCGAACCUGCCCAGUGAUUUUUUUUAACGGCCGCGGUACUCUGACCGUGCAAAGGUAGCAUAAUCAUUUGCCCUAUAAUUGAGGGCUUGUAUGAACGGUUUGACAAGAGCAUAACUGUCUCUUUAAAAUUUUAUAGAAUUUGGUUUUUAGGUGAAGAAACCUAAAUAUAAUUGAAAGACAAGAAGACCCUAUCGAGCUUUAGGAUAAUUAAUUAAAAAAUAUAAUUAAAAUAAUUAAUUUUAAUUAAAAACUUUGGUUGGGGCGACUGAGGAACAUACAAAGCUUCUUCAAUUAAAAUAUGCUUAUAAGCUAUGAUCCAAAAAAAUUUGAUUAAAAAAAUUAGUUACCGUAGGGAUAACAGCAUAAUCUUUUUCAAGAGUUCUUAUCGAAAAAAAGGUUUGUGACCUCGAUGUUGGACUAGGAUAUCUUAAAGAUGCAGAAGUCUUUAAAAGUUGGUCUGUUCGACCAUUAAAAUCCU
This 505-nucleotide ribosomal RNA is filed under the name Pachydrobia munensis. RNAcentral's name for it is "partial 16S ribosomal RNA". It matches the Rfam family "Bacterial large subunit ribosomal RNA", at positions 1817 to 2597 of the family's 2925-position model. Lineage: Eukaryota; Metazoa; Mollusca; Gastropoda; Littorinimorpha; Pomatiopsidae. The record is from RNAcentral.